This 372-nucleotide ribosomal RNA is filed under the name uncultured bacterium. RNAcentral describes it as "bacterial SSU rRNA". It matches the Rfam family "Bacterial small subunit ribosomal RNA", at positions 32 to 396 of the family's 1533-position model. The record is from RNAcentral.
UCAACGCUGGCGGCGUGCCUCAGACAUGCAAGUCGAACGAUUAAAGCUCUCUUCGGAGAGUGCAUAGAGUGGCGCACGGGUGAGUAACACGUAAGUAAUCUACCUUCGAGUGGGGAAUAACAGUCGGAAACGACUGCUAAUACCGCAUAAUGCAGCGGCAUCGCAAGAUGACAGUUGUUAAAGGAGCAAUCCGCUUGAAGAGGAGCUUGCGGCAGAUUAGCUAGUUGGUAAGGUAAUGGCUUACCAAGGCAACGAUCUGUAACCGACCUGAGAGGGUGGUCGGUCACACUGACACUGAAUAACGGGUCAGACUCCUACGGGAGGCAGCAGUCGGGAAUCUUGCGCAAUGGGCGAAAGCCUGACGCAGCGACG